UUGUGGCGCAAUGGAUAACGCGCCUGACUACGGAUCAGGAGAUUCAAGGUUCAACUCCUGGCAA
Daphnia pulex (common water flea) is the source of this 64-nucleotide non-coding RNA. The record is from Rfam. NCBI's taxonomy places the organism in Eukaryota, Metazoa, Arthropoda, Branchiopoda, Diplostraca, Daphniidae.